UUUGUAGUGCCUACAGUUCUUCCAUCCUUUUUUAUUUCUCUAUUUUAUUAUAAUGACUUUUAGCGCCUUUUUUUAAUUUAUCCGGUUGCUACUGUAGCGCUACCCAUUAGCAAAUUUUGACACUUUUUCACACACAGAGACAGGUCGGUUCUCCUUACCCCUACCCUACCCUCCAUAUACCAUAGAUUAUACACUUAAUAUAUUAGAGAUCCAUAUACCAAACGUAGAAACAAAUAAUUUGGUACAAAAUUUGCAAAUUUUGAUAAAAAUAAAAUUAUUUAAUAUUUAAUUACGUAUUUUUUUGUACGUUGUUUAUAUAUCACAAAACCACACAGUUGCCGAAUAAUUACAUUCACUAAUUUUCUAUUGUACCAAAUGUGAAAAGCUUAAAACUUUUUUUUUUAAUUUAGGUACGUUAAAUAAAACAAAUUUGUGUAUGUUUAACAAACUAUUGAAUAUCCGAAUAGGUAACUAAUAUGUAAUUUUAGUGAAAUCGUUCAAUAAUAAAUUAAAUAAACGUAUGCAAGGUCAGUUUAAUUUAAAAGGAUGUUAGGUACAAGGGCACUAUUCCUUCAGAUAGCUCUAAAACAUAGAAAAUUUACAAGAACGUGUGCAAACGGAAAAUCGGUUAACGACGAGGAAAAAGAGAGGGAACUCGAACGUUUAGCAAAAGAUGCGUCUAUUGAUGAACCUCCUACCUCAUGCUGUCAAUCUGGGUGCUCCAACUGUGUUUUUAUAGUAUGGGCCGAAGCUCUUGUCAACAAAAUGAACAACUCUGGACCAGAAGUCUGCGAGAAGAUCUUAAAGAUGGUAGAAGACCCAUCUAUGAAAGCUUACUUGGAGAUGGAGCUUCGCAUACGAGGGCUAACUAAAAGAUAGAAGAUAUUAUUAUUAAUUACUAAAAGCCCACUCCUGAGAACACAAUAUGGUAAUUGGAACAACUUAUUAAAGAAGUGUUUGUGUUGUGUGACUGUGGAAUUAAUAGAAGUUGUCUUCGAACACGACCGUUGGACCUCCCGAAAACGACCCCAGCGGGGUCAUGAUCCCUACCUCAACGAUGCCAAAGCUUCCUGAGGAAUCUAUUGAAAGAAAUCGAAUUUGGAGUGGUGUUCCAUCCUGGUUAACACUUAUAUCUGAACUACCUACCACCUAACUUCCCAACUUAAACUACACUAACAAUUCACCAGUAGUAUAGGUUGGAUUCAGUCUAAUUAUUACCACUGACAGUAUGAUAAAAUUUAAUAUUUGCACUUUCAAGUUAAUGAAGCCUGGUAACCUUCUGUAGGCAAAAGUAAAUCUGUAAGUUUGUAUGAUUUGUUUACUGUAAUAUCCAUACACUGUGUAAUCAUUAUUAUAAUAGUCAAAGUGAUUUAAUAUACUAGUAAGUCAUAUUGUAAGUUAAGUGUAAUUAAUUAAUAAAUCAAUUAGUUUUAUAAGAAACGGAUAUGUUUUUUUUUUUUCGAAUGUGUAUAAUGUGAUUUUAUAAUGAAAUAAAUUAUUUAAAAGUAAAAAAA
This is an RNA transcript of Bombyx mori (domestic silkworm), 1514 nucleotides long. RefSeq lists it as uncharacterized. Lineage: Eukaryota; Metazoa; Arthropoda; Insecta; Lepidoptera; Bombycidae. The transcript has 4 exons. The record is from RefSeq and is a predicted model, not a curated record.